CAGAACGCUGGACAGACUGGCUUUAAAAGGCAGGCACUGACAGAUAGUAAAGAGAAUUUGGUUUUCUCUGUAACCAGGAAAUGUGAGAGGGCAAACUUGACCUGGUCUGGGCACAGGAAAUGCAGCAGCCUGUGAGCUUCGAUGUCAUCUUGUUCAUACCUCUAAUACUGCCAUGAAAUCAGGGGAAAUUUCAAGAGCAUUACGUAGAACCAGAAUUUGGCACAAUAGGAUCAUUAUGGAUUUGGGAAUUGAAAUGCUGUGCUUUGCCAGCCACUGCAUCUCCGGCAAGCUGAAAGAGCGUCUUGUCUCAUUAGACCGGGUUCUCCUCAUCCCAUGAGCUCCCCACGAGCACUCCGUGAGACAGCUAAGGUUUCUUUGAGAGCGACCAAAUGCAGCUGUGAUGCUCAGGAGUUAUCAACACACCAUUUCCAAAUCUCACAGAGGCCUGGAAAUGCAUCCACCGAGUCUGUACAUUUAACUGAAGUCUCAAGUAUGAAGAGAAAGAUCUGGGGUGACUGGUUCCAGAUCCUCCAUUGCACUGGAUGGUGCAUAGAACCAAGAGCUCCAGAUCAUCAGCAACUGAUUCUUGAGCUCUCUGUGGCUAUUCUGGAGAGGACAAUCUUUGGUCUACGACUCUUCUAUUUCCACUGAAAAGUGACAGUGACCACAGAUAAUGUCUGGAAGACAUUUAGUGCGUAAACAAGAAGGAAUUGAUGCGACCAUCCCCACCAUCAGGCUUAAUGAGUGUCUGGCUUCGUCCUGGCUUCCACGCAGCAGCAGCUGGUGCUGUGUCCACCGACCGGUGCUUCACGAGCAGAAAUCUGCUUUCCAAGUUUCAGCACACACAUGUGUAGACACCCAGCACACGGAGCCUUGGAUCCCAGUUCCCUGACAUAGGAUAUGUCAUGAAAAAUAUUAAUCAUAAAUGUCCUGAAAAUUGGAUCUGAUCUCCCUUAAUACUCUACUCGCUGUUGCAAUGGAAAUGUUUUCUAAUAAAAAAUAUCCAAGUCUGCCAAACCAGUGUAGCGAUCUCCAGAGUAUCAUACCACUUUCCAAGCGCGGUUUGAUGAGCCUGAUGUCAAGUCGCCAAACUUGGCCACCGAGCUUGCUCCAAAAUGCUGAACUCUUAGCAAAAAUGCUUUUUAUAAUAACUCCAAUCCUUGCCCAGACUAACUCUCAAAUCUGAUAGUGUCCAAGUUCGUUAUUAAUUUUUUUAUUGGUCCUCGCUGAGUACCCCAUCCAGAGUGGUCUGUUGGAAAAGCUCCUUAUUUCUUCUGUCUGCUUUGAUUCACUUCGUUUGUUUAUUCUGUUCCGUGUAAGUUAUCAGGAAGUCAGGGGAAGGACAGAAACGAAAGUUCCUCUCUGUUUUCUAUUUUAUAAUGUUUGUACCGAUACGUUCUUAGCUACCAAGUCAGUGUCUAAGGUGAUGGCCUGGUUUUAUCCUUUUAAUUGGAUUGUUUUGGCCGUUCAUAUGCAAGACAUUGAUUUGUGUCUCUGAUGCUUCCCAGCCUCCUUAUUGUUUUUAAUGCUUCAUGUUCUGACUUAAAGGUAAGUUUUCCCCCAGCAUAUUAUGAACAUAACAAAAUAUCACACAAUAAUACUAAUAAUAAUCUUAUAAAACCUUCGGAGGCAAAAGGAGGUAUUUGUAGUGAGGCAGCGUGUGAAGUUCUAAGUGCUGAGCAGAAGAAAAUUAAAAAAUGAAAAGGAGGUGGAAAAACCGCAUUUUGUUAGUAUUAAAGUUUUAUCUUCCUUUAUUACUGGGAUUCCAGUAAAUAUGGACAAAGAUGUGAAUUCAAAUGUACUAUUUGCCUUUUCAGUGCCUCUCUGCAUAAUCCUGCCCCCGCCCCGCCCCAAACACAUGUGUCUGCUUACACCACAGUCCCGAACACACUGUCCAGUUACUUCAUCCCAUCUCAGAAACACUGUAAUUUGGGGAAAGAUCAAGAGCAAUUACGUUGUUCUCAAGCCGCUUUGCAGUUUUUCAGCCUUCUGAGAUGUCUCCAGGAAAAUGGAUACUCAUUGCUAGCAAUGAACCUUUACUAGAUUUAGUCACUGGAAUUGUUCAAGAAGUUUGAUAAAAAGGAACAGGGUAGGGUGAGCAGGCUGGCUCCGGUGUAGUUGGCUGCAGGGGUGGGGGUAGCGGAUGUACUGGCAGCUACUAGAACCGCUAAAGAAGAGAGAUGCAGAGAAAGGGCCAAGCCGCCCUCUUACUCUUUUGUACAGUUGUUCAGUAAUUGUCCUUGAAUAUACCUCNUAGUCUUCUAAACUUCAGAGUACCUUGGUCUUUUCUUACAUUCUACCAAACCCUUUGCACAUAGUUUUUGGAAAUCAUUUAGAAAGCAAGACCAGGAUUUAUUCAUACAGACCCUGUUGUUCAAUUUUUUUUCUGCUCAAAUCCAUAUAUUUGUAACCAAAGUGAGAAUAGAAACCUCGCUCUCAUUCCUACUUUCCUAAAGCCGUUCUCAGUCCAUAGCAAAUCAGUCUUCGCCACCACCCUGAACUGAAUAUUAGUAUUAAAGCAUCUUUUGGUAUGGAACAUUCUCAGGGGCACUUUGAAACAUCUGUGUGCUACAUAGCAUAUAGUGUUUAACAAUAAAGCUGAAAGCUUAUGUACAAAGCUUAAGUCUCCGUCUGUCUGUCUGUCCAUCUGUCC
RNAcentral lists this small RNA (2653 nucleotides) under Rattus norvegicus (Norway rat). RNAcentral's name for it is "uncharacterized LOC102550593". The record is from RNAcentral. Lineage: Eukaryota; Metazoa; Chordata; Mammalia; Rodentia; Muridae.